GACGAACGCUGGCGGCGUGCAUAACACAUGCAAGUCGAACGGAAAGGCCCUGCUUGCAGGGUGCUCGAGUGGCGAACGGGUGAGUAACACGUGGGUGAUCUGCCCCUUACUUUGGGAUAAGCCUGGGAAACUGGGUCUAAUACUGGAUAGGACCAUGCUGUAGGUGGUGUGGUGGAAAGAUUAGUUUCGGUAAGGGAUGAGCUCGCGGCCUAUCAGCUUGUUGGUGGGGUAAUGGCCUACCAAGGCGUCGACGGGUAGCCGGCCUGAGAGGGUGGACGGCCACAUUGGGACUGAGAUACGGCCCAGACUCCUACGGGAGGCAGCAGUGGGGAAUAUUGCACAAUGGGCGCAAGCCUGAUGCAGCGACGCCGCGUGGGGGAUGACGGCCUUCGGGUUGUAAACUCCUUUCAGCCAUGACGAAGCCCUUGUGGUGACGGUAGUGGUAGAAGAAGCACCGGCUAACUACGUG
Molecule: ribosomal RNA, 469 nt
Filed under: uncultured bacterium
Lineage: Bacteria
Description: partial 16S ribosomal RNA
Rfam family: Bacterial small subunit ribosomal RNA
Source: RNAcentral